Molecule: long non-coding RNA, 925 nt
Organism: Cygnus olor (mute swan)
Lineage: Eukaryota; Metazoa; Chordata; Aves; Anseriformes; Anatidae
Exons: 3
Source: RefSeq, a predicted model, not a curated record
AGGCAAUGUAGUCUUAUUCUUUAAACAAUUACUCCUUAUUCUUCCAUUUGACUAAAUAUUUUGUGUUUAGAUUUCUUUAGAAUUUCCUUUAAAAAUGGAAGUAAAACCACUGCUAGCUGGAAGGUUUAUGAGUUGCAUUUCUUCAGCUGCAGCAUAAAAGACUUCAGGAGCAUACAUCUCUGAAGAGCAAAGAAUUUGCUGUAGUUCCUCAAAGAAUCAUUUCAGAAAUAUUUUGAUUAUAUACCAAAAGUGAAAGUUGGGAAUCUACCUCAAAAACUAUCAUGCUGCUCCAAACUUCGAAAAUAACAGUAUUUUGCAGUAAGCAAAUGCGUGCUGUUACGUUAGGAAGAAUGAUUCUGUUUUCACUGUGGUGGUGGUGGGAAACUGGCUUUUGUUAGUCAAUAUAGAUAAUCAGUGCUCUGAAUCAAGCUGAUAGAUACUAAUCAGCCAUAUAGCAUUUCACAAGUACGUAUUUGCUCUGCAAAAACUGGAAGUUUUGCAUAGUUCUGCUUUGUGGAACCUCACACCACCCUAAAAAUGCACUCAACCGCCUUUUUGGGAAGGGCGGUCAGUGAAAAUGGGGUGUUAGCAGUUAGUGUCUAGAUAGGGUUGAUAUUUUCUUGCUGUUUGUAGCUAUAGAUGUUGUUCUUGUCUAUAGCAAUUAAUAGUAUAUAUGUACAGAAUUUUAGAUGUUCAGGUAGGUGAUGGUACCAUAUGUGCCGCUGGAGAUGUCUGAUGGGUCCACCUCUCUUGACAGUCUGUGGCUUAUGGACUCUAGGGAGCAUGAAAAUUCUUAUCAUUUGAAUUAAAAGAUUCACUUUUCCAAUUAAGACAUCUUAGCUGCUCAGAACACAACCGUGUUGAUACUAGUCCCACAGCCGUGAUGGUACCAGUCUGGAAAACUUCUCCAGGCAAGUAUAAGCAA